Molecule: long non-coding RNA, 351 nt
Filed under: Homo sapiens (human)
Lineage: Eukaryota; Metazoa; Chordata; Mammalia; Primates; Hominidae
Description: HSALNT0210182
Source: RNAcentral
GGAAGACCACUCAGCACAGAGGACUGUUCCCAAAUAGGGAAAAAUGGGAGGCAGCCAGCAGACACGUGCCUUCUCAUAUGAUGGAGUGUGGUGACUCUUCUCUGCUGCUCUGUGUUUACACAGCCAACUCUCAGGCAGGAUUCUCAACUGGACCAUACAAUGUGAACAUGGCAGAGGUACAAAGAAUACAGUGGAAAAUAUAAAUGAAAAGAAAGAUUUGGAACAUACUGUGAAGAACCUUGGCUAUGAUGCUCAAGAUUCUGAGAGGCUUUAAUAUGUUUUUUUUUUUUAUGAGAAGUGGGUGAAAUGAUUAAAUGCUGUAAUUUAAAAAAUAACUCACGUGGUAAGGUG